CCAACCUAUCUUUUUCGUCCGGGAUAACUAGCCGAAAGGUUAGCUAAUACCUGAUAAGAUCACCGAGUGGCAUCACAUGGUGAUGAAAGCAGAAAUGCGCGGAUUGAGGGGGCUGCGGCCCAUUAGCUAGUUGGUGAGGUAAUGGCCCACCAAGGCGACGAUGGGUAGCUGGUCUGAGAGGACGACCAGCCACACUGGGACUGAGACACGGCCCAG
RNAcentral lists this ribosomal RNA (216 nucleotides) under uncultured bacterium. RNAcentral describes it as "partial 16S ribosomal RNA". It matches the Rfam family "Bacterial small subunit ribosomal RNA", at positions 121 to 334 of the family's 1533-position model. The record is from RNAcentral.